Molecule: long non-coding RNA, 10152 nt
Filed under: Homo sapiens (human)
Lineage: Eukaryota; Metazoa; Chordata; Mammalia; Primates; Hominidae
Description: HSALNT0043653
Source: RNAcentral
CGUGAUCCGCCCGCCUCAGCCUCCCAAAGUGCUGGGAUUACAGGCGUGAGCCACCGCGCCCGGCCGACAUAUUCUUUAUUAAUAGAGCUCAGCACCCAAAACCACAUUACCUAGAGAUUCAGCAUCACUGUUUUUAUGUGUCUAUGUCAUUGUGUUUUCACAAUGUGUCAUCUGAAAUAUGACCACCUGGGCAUGCAAUGCUGCCAGGCUCUUUUCCUAAAAGGUGAUGGGUGGAAAUGGGGCAGAGAUGGUUAAGCCUUGAUGGUGGAGGUGGAGCGGGUGAUCAGGGAAGAACAGAUCUGGGCGUUUGUGGGCAGCAGGAUAGGAUGGUUUGGCUUAGGAGAAGUGGACAAAGUGGAUGAAAGAAGGCAGCAGAACUGAGGAAAACCAUGGUGGUGGGGAGACCAGGUCAGUGCCCAACAGAGCCCCAGAGUCCAGGGUCCACCCUCUUCUCAUCCACCAGCUGGGCCUACUGAUUUGUUCUUUUUGGCUCUCUUUCUUCUCCUAGUCAUCAAUUCCUCUUUCAUUCUUGCUGUAGCUGCACUUUUCCCUUCUCCCAGACCUCAGCUUCAGCUUUGCCAGUGGUGCCCUUUUGUCCUUGCUCCUGGCUCCAGAGCUCCAGGUGUUACUGUUGCCAAAAGCUACCAGCUUUGGGGGCUGUGAUUGAAUUUCUAUUUUCAACAUGAGGGAACAGGAGGUUUGGCAUCUCUGUUGGCUCUGUUGGGCUGGAGUUUGAAAUGUGAACUCCUGGACAGUCUUCUGGAUGCUACUCUGCAUUUGUUACACAUCUGAGCAAUGAGGGUAGUGCCCUGUGUCAUUUAGUUGCCCUUUAGCAUUGAGAGUAUAUGCUCUUGUGCAACAGAGGGUGAACCUGUAAUAAAGGCCUGGAAGAUGUAUCUGGAUGCAUUGGUUUGUGGAGUGAAUGGGAGAGAGUGAAGGUAUUAAUAAGCUGUGGGCUGUGUCGGGGCAGCCACUUGGUCCAACUAUGCGUCUCUCCAUACCCAGCUUCAAUCAUAAGCACGGGCCCAAUCACUCAGUUAGAACUUACUAAAGAUAGGAAUGAAUGAAUGAAUGAAUGAAUGAAUGGAGUGGACAAAUUAAUAAUGCCGCAUGGAAACAAAGAAGGACAGGAACAUGAAAGUAAAGGAUUGCUUUGUCUGAAAACCAUACAGGCAGUAAAGGGCACACGUCUUCCUGGCACUCGGGGAAGCCGCACUGCCAGCAGCAGCUCUCGAGAGCUAGGACGCUGCACAGAAGCUAUACAUUUCCGAAGACAGAGAAGAGGAAAAAGGAGGUAGAGUCUGGUAUGAGGGCACCAGGGAACAUUUCCUUACUUCACAAUUUGGUGAACUGAGUAGAACUGCCUGACAUCACACAGAGGGUAAACUUCUGCCUAGGGCCAUGGAAAAAGGCAAGAAGGUCCCGUGACCAAGAAAUGACCAGCUCCACAGAGGAAAUGCAGGGCCACUCUCCGACUGGACCCCACUGUGCACAAGGUGAGAAUUCAGCCUGUUUAUCAGGGUUUCCCUUAUUAAAGUAUAUGUCAAAAAGGCCUGGUAGAAAUGUAACUCUGUGAUGUUAAUUUUGGAAAGUCUCAUCUAGAACUUUCUGGGAAGUAUUUGAAAGCACAGUUGUGGAAUCAUUUGAAGACUCAAACAUAUAAAUUAAACACUCUUCUUGGAUACAGCAGUUAGAAUAUGGAACAGAUAGGGUCUACAUUGGAGAAAUGAGAGAUGUGGCAAGUGCUUAGCCUCUCUGAGACUCAGUCUCAAUGUCUCCAUCAGGGACAGCUAGCUAGCUCACGGAAUUAUUGUGAGGGUUCACUGUUAUAAUUUAUUCCAAGGUCCACUGCAGCACCGAGGACAUAGGUGGCACUCAAGAAGCAGUGGCCAGUAGUAUUCUCUGCUAAAAUAUUUGCCACCUCAGCCACUUUGAUUCUGCUCCAGAGGGCUUUUUCGCUCAUCCCAUUGGCGACACAAGGCAGGUUAACUAAAGAUACUCUCACCUAAUCUAAAAAUUCAAGACAUCAGUCCACAAAAUACCAGAAUCACCAUGGAGGCAGCUGUUUAGCACUUUGGAUAGUCUAUUUCUCCCCCUAAAAACAGCCUACUUAAAACAGGGGAGAGUUAAGGUUCCAGGAUCUUACUCCUGAGAUUUUUUAUUUAAAGAACACCCCAUCUUUACUCGCAGCUGAGAGGCUAAGAUUAAAAAUUAGCCACUGUAUAGUAGCUGAGCAGUGACAAUUUUUCAUAAAGGUUUUUAGUACACAUUUGGGAUUAUAAUUUCAAUAUUAUGCAAAUGCAUUUUAUGGAUCUAUAAUACAGAAUGUGUACUGGCGUUAAUGUGCAUUAGCAGGCGAGAAGAAAAGGCUCCAAAUGAGCCAUUUUGGUGUCUGCUUUCAACAUGUAUUAUGAAUAAUAAGUAAAAUGUUCUGGUUUAGAACAAAUAAUAUAAAAUCUGAAUUCUUCUUGAUGUACAUCAGUGACAAAGCCCUACGCAACUCCCAUGGAAUUAUUCCAUUGGACACAAUUUAAAACUGGCUCUUAAACAAUAUAUUCCUGUUUCUGGCUUCUCUUCUUGAAUGAGAUGUGAAAGUAAAAUAAAUAUAUUUAAUAUGAAUACGGGAUAGUUCCCCCCAUUGCUCAAAAUCAGGCAUGAACUAGAUGAAGGCAUUGGGAAGGCUGAAACACCAUAGUGGUCAAGAGAGUGGCCCAGGAUACUUGUAAUUUGAGAGGCUCUGAGUAUUGAAAAGUGAAGAAGCAUCUAAAUAGGGUUAUAUAACUUGCAUAUUUUCAAUGAAUAAAAUUAACAAAUAUAAUGCCUUUAACACAAAAUAUUUAAUACAAGAUGACUGUAUUAUUCUGAAGAUAUUUAAAUGAUGUGUAAGUAAUAUUUCUUAAUGUAAUGUGCUGCAAGCUUUGUUCCAAAAUGGGAACUUGAGUUGAAAUUUGUCUGAUGUCUAUUUUCUUUCAGCCUUGUCAGAGUGUUUCUGUGACUGCAGAUUAGAAUAAAAUUCUCACAAACUAAUUUGAGGCUUUUCGUAAAGGCAGAGGACUGAGCCAAACAACUAGCUUCUCAUGAUAGAGCCCCAAAAUGUUUCCUUUUUAAUUAAUAUUUCCAUGUUGCAAUUUUGCAUGUACAGAAGGUGGUAGCUGGUUAUUUUAGUAGUAAUUCAAACUUUCUAUUUGCAUUGAUUUAGUUAAGACUUUCAGAUCUAUUGACCCUGUUUCUUGAAUGCAUGUUUCACACCUGCCCCAUUCUUGGGCAGCCUGCAGGAAUACAAGAUCACACUGUCCAAUGAGUAUGGACUAAGCAUUCAGCUGAGUAACAAUAAUACAAUCAUCUUGUCUCUCAAACAGGUGCCCUUAACUUAAUGUUUUUUAAAAUGCCACCACGUCCAUGACAUCUUCAAAAUGAUACUAAAAAUAUCCAUGCGAUGAGUUCUGUGUGUGUUAAGUGUUUUAUAUGCAUUAUCUCAAUUGACUUCCAAAGCAACCUCACAAGGUCAGUUUUACAAUCCCCAUGAAAUGGUUGAAGAAUUUGGAGUCUAAAAAGACUAAGUAAUUUGUACAAAAUCACAAUUAUACAGGUCUAAUUUUGCAACCCAAACUCUUGACCAGUAUAUAACCCUGAAUCCAGUAUUAAUGUAGUAGAUAAUUGUCUUGGCUUAAUUUAUCAUAUAAGUUAUAGAAAUGGUGUUUUGUCCUUACUCUGACAUGGGGACUAUAAUUGACACUAAAAUCUGAAUCAAUUUCAACCAGUCAUUGCUUCACUUCACUACUUGUCUACAUUGCUGCAGUUGGUUGCUGCUUUCCAUUUCCCCCGAUGCUUUUCCAUUCGAGAUGGAGGUCUGUGGAAGGAAAGAUGGAUACAGCAAGAGGGUCUAUCCAAGAACCCAAUAAAUAUGUACUGCAUAAAUAAAUCAGAUGUUUUAAAUUUGGCAAUUUAAAUUCAGCAAAAAGUCUUUGACAACCUGUGGAGUGUAAGCUAUGGUUUCUAUCCUUGCAACCUUAAAAUUUCAAAAAGCCCCAAAUUCAAGCUUAUCAGUAGCAAGGAAGCCCUUCCAAAUAUUAACUUACAAUCAAUAUUGGAAAAAACUGAGUAGUAUAUUGUGUCCUAUUUUGAAAACAAGCUAUUUGCCAUGUGUAGAUAAGAUUCCUACACUAAAGAUAUCUUUUUAAUAGUUGAAAUAUGAGAUGCCGAGUAAUAAAACUUGAAGUACAGUGGAGCAGCUCUGAGAGAACAAGUGGCACAUUGCCUUGAAAUAAUACUCUCAACGCCAUUUGCUGAGUCUUCUAUGCUCUUGGCCCUUUGCACAAUCUCACUUAAUCUUCACUGCACCCUGUAAGGUAAAUAUUAUUAUCUUCAUUUUACAGAUGAGGAAAUUGAAGCUUACAUAAAUUGUCUGAGGUCACACAGUUAAUAAGUGGUUGAAUGUGGAUUUAAUUCGAGGUCUGCUUUAUUUCAAAGUGAUUCAGUGAGUGAGACAGAGAGAAACAAAGAGAAGACAGUGGUUUUUAAAGAAAGAAUGAAUCUCAAUUUUCUGAAACCCUAUAGCAAUUCCUGCCUUUCUUGUGGCUCUUACCAUAUUCUGCUGUUAUUUCUGGAUUUCUUAUAUAACCUUUACUGAAUUAUAAGCUAUUCUAUUUGAGAGAAGAGACCACACACAAACCAUUUCUGUAUUCCCCCAGGACCUUGUUCAGUGCCUGGAACAAAGUAGGUAUUCAAGAUACCUUUCACUUAUUCCUCAUAUAUUUGCUGGGUGUGGUUAAGCCCAGUAAAGAAGACAAGUCAUGCCUUCCAGGAGCUUCUAGCUCAGGGGAGAAAGUGAUUGAAGACCCAGUGUUCUAAACUGGGUGUGGCACCACAGUGAUGGGAAGUAGGGGAAGCCAAGGGGAAGCUGACUGACUGGUGGGCUCAACCAAGGUUUCCCGAGGAAGAGGUCAUCCAAAACCAUUCUUGAAGCUUCAGUAAGAGCCAAGCAAAGAGGGUGGGGAAAGCCUCACAAAGCGAGAAGGAUCAGGAAUGCACAAAGGCCCUGAAAUUAGAGAUAAGCACAAAGCCUGUUUCCAAGGAUUACAAAUCACCUGGAGAUUACUGGAGGACAAGAGAAAGGGGAGAAACAGCAAGACAGAAGGUGGCAAGGUAUCCGCUGUGAAGUCUAGAAGGACUGUGUACACCAUGGUAAAGUAUUUCUCUAUCCUGAUCUUUCUGGGGAGGGUUUAUGCAGAGGAGAGGCAAGACAAGGCAUAUAUUUGAGAAAGAGGAUCAUUAGCUGAAUUGUGGAGAACAGACUCGAAGAGGAUGCUACUGGUUGCAGGGAACAGGAAAGAAAACCAAGGAAGCAAUCACUAAAGCCAGUGGGAGGGAGGGUCUUGCCAUUAGAGAAGAGAAGGCCAUUUUGUAUACACAGCUGACGCUUGAACAACACAGGUUUGAACUGUGAGAGUCCACUUAUAUUUGGAAUUUUUUCAAUAAAAGUUACAUGGAGUGUGCCUGCCUCUCCUGCCUCCUCUUCCACCCCCGCCACCCUUGAGACAGCAAAACCAACCAUUCCUCUUCCUCCUCUUCCUCAGCCUGCUCAAUGUGAAGAUGACGAGGAUGAAAACCUUUAUGAUGAUCUACUCCUAUUUAUGUGGACUUGCUCUGGAUUAGGGAUGAGAAGACCUGACUCUACUGUUUUCUUGAUAAGUGACCUUGAACCAGACACAUGUGCUCAAGUUCCAUAUCUGUAAAAUGAAGAUACCUGGCCUUCCUACUUCACAAGGUUCUUUUGAAGAUCAAAUGUAAUACUGCAUAAUAAAGUGACUCAUAAAUUCUUUUUUUUUUUUUUUUUGAGAUGAAUUCUCACUCUGUUGCCCAGGCUGUCAUGACCUGGUGCAAUUUCAACUCACUGCAACCUCCGCCUCCAGGGUUCAAGAGAUUCUCCUACCUCAGCCCCACCGAGUAGCUGGGAUUACAGGCAUGCACCACCACUCCCGGCUUUUUUAUUUUAUUUUUAUUUUUUGUAUUUUUUGUAUUUUUAGUAGAGAUGGGGUUUUGCCAUUUUGGUGAGGUUGGUCCUGAACUCCUGACCUCAAGUGACCUGCCCGUCUUGCCUCCCAAAGUGCUGGGAUUACAGGAGUGAGCCUCUGCACCUGGCCUGACCCAUAAAUUCUAAAGUACUAAGUGAUGUCCUCAUAUAUAGCACAGUCCCUCCAGCCCCUGCAAUUCAAAGAUACAUCUCACUGUACUUAGGAGAGUUAGAGUAGAGGCAUGACCUAACUUGUUAGCUGUUUAUCUCCUAUAGAAAGUGGUCAACAGAUCUUUGUUGGUAAAAUGAAUGAAUAUUCAUUUCUUAUCUUUCAAUGAGAAUGUGAUAACUUUGGUUAUUGAUGUAUACUUCCGUGCAAAUUUGCUCAUGCAAUUUCAACCACAUCCCCCAGAACAACUUUCUACCAUGCUAAUUGCUCCGAACAUUUAAAUACCAGCAUAGGAAUGGAAGCUACUGACUGUUAACAUUUCUCACAUUUAGUUGCUGAAUGCCUCUCACAUUUACUUACUGAAUGUGUGCUUUAGACCAUCUUAAAAAUAUAAUAGUAUGUCUGAUAAAGAGGCCCAUCAGUCCUCAAAAUGUCUUCAUCUUUUAGUGUUGAAACAAUAAUGAUGAUUUGCUUCAUUUGUGCUCUACACACCAAUGAGAUGAGCUAACUGCAUAUCUACUAUGAAAUAAUGUCUAUUAUUACAUGGAUAACUACCCAUUAACUCCAUUGGAAACACUGGUAAUUACACAGUAUGUUACGUUAAUGCACCUGUGUUAGCUUCUGAUUGCCAUAUUAUUAAUUCAAGUGACCUCUUGAAUUAAUUCAAGUUUCCCAUCAUCAUUUUCUUAUUCUGGAACUCUCUAACACUUUAGAGACUGUUGGCUAAACAAUAAAAGUAUACAGUGAAAACUAUUUUCAAAAAAAAGAGGAUCUGAUGUGUGAUCCCAUUGAUGUUUGUUGUUGUUUUUCACUUCUUUGCUUGACAUAUAUAAACAACUUUAGAGCUAUAUUCUGUUACCUUCUGUGCAAAAUUAGAACAAUUUUCACUUUGUGAAGAGUUGCAGAAAGAUUUGACCUUUAAAAACUCUGAAACACGUCUGGUUCACAAACAGAAUCACAUCUUAAAAGCCCUAAGUUUGCUCUAAAAGUGUCAAUCAAGUUUUCAGCACACUAACACACGUAAUAAUGAAAGGCUUGUAUUUGCUCCUAAAACCCAAGUUGCCUCCCAGUCACUCUGCAUCUGGUUACACCAAACUUAACUUUUCUACAGUCCAUCUAGUCCUGACCUUCCCCUCUUCUUACGAGCCCCCAUUUAACCAAAGCAACUCCAGCCCAGGAGAUGAAAACCCCAUCAGCAUUUUCAUAGUUAAUGACAGGGCUACAAAACAGAAAAUAACAGCGGGAAUCUGAAGCCAGUGCUUUUAUUGGACUAACUAACGAUAUAAAUAAAAUGGUCCCUGACUGAGCUUUGGAGAAUCACUGUCUCUUUAUCAGGCCAUAGAAAACAGAUCCAGGAGGGCAAUAAAUACAGCACAUAACAGAGUGGAAUUAAAUGAUUAGGCCUGAAUUAACACCCUGUUUCUGAGCCUCACUUAGUGUUCCAUGGCCCCAAUGAAACACUGCAAUUCACAAAUGCUCAAGGCCCAUUUAAUUUUUAUUUCAAGCUAGUUCAGAAGAAGGGAUUACCUAUAACUCCCCCCUAUUCCAUUGUGUAACUCUCGAAGUAACAACACUGAUCCUGUCUAGAUAGCUGUUAGGAAAAUAGGCUGUGCUAUAGGAAACACAGAGUCUAUUCAGAAUCCUGCCUCUACAAAAAUCACAUUAAUUCAAAGGGACCAAAUCCCUCUCUGUGAAAGUGACAAGGCUGUCCUUGAUGGGAAAAUAAUGAAUUAUUAGUUAAAUAAACUUGAUUAUUUUCCAUGACAUUAACAACAAACCUAUGCAACUGUCAGCCCAAGAUUUUUACUUUUUGAACUGUGGCUUUAGCAUGCCAAAGAUCCUAAUCAAGUCUUAACUGCAAAAUGGAAUUGAAUCUCACCUUGGAGGGUAAUCUAUGGAGGCCCAUCCCCCAUUACACCAUAUGUCACAGGAUAAGGUGGAUGAGUUUCACUUAAACCCUGUUGGCGGGGAGUUAAUAUUGUUCUAUACGUCUUCAUUUAUACAAUGGCUUUAGAGCAAGAAAUCCAAGGAUGGCAUAAGAGGAAGGCUUCACUGUAGCAGUGAAGUACUUAGAAAUUUUAGACGAAAUAUGCAGCAGAUGAAACUGAGUCAUUAAAACCACUUGUAUACCUGUGACUUGAAGUGAUGUAUGAGAUGGAGAUAUAUUUAGAAGGCAAGGUCCUCAAGAGGUAAGAGAGCUUGCAGUUUUGAGCACUUAGUAGAUGCUGUGUGCUGGUUUUUAUUUUUCCUCAUUUAAUCCUCACACUGUCCUAUAAAGUUGACAUAAUUAUUCCUGUUUACAAGUAAGGAAACUGACCCUCAAAGAGGAGUGUAAUAAUUGCCCAAGUUCACACAGGAAGUGGUAAGGCUGAGAUUCAAAUCCAGAUCUAGCUGAUUCCAAAGCCAGCCCUUUCCGUCAAUACUAUGACUGUCACCUGCUUAGAACUCCUGACUGCUGCCUGGAGCUUUUACUUGGGAUCUUCUAGAAUAACCAAAGAAACAACACACAGAAGAGGAUGAGACUAAUGAAGUAUAGUCUCAAACAGUAGGAAAAAACCCCAAGGGCUUUGGCACUGGAUGAGAUUAACUCUUAUAAAGCCCCAGGAGAUCCAGACAUUCAGUGAAUUAAGGAGCCCUCCUCUGAAAUUAAAUGAACCUGCCUGUCCAAAACUGCUUCCGAGUGUCAGCCAUGGCGUACAUGGGGUCCAGACUCUAUCAUCACCCUGAAAGGGCACCUUGAGCCUUGACUGAAGUAGAGCAGGGAGGAUUCUUCCACAUUUUCAAGAGUAUGAGGUUUGACCACACCCAAGUUUACCCUACCAGUCGGUUCAGCAUAGCGUGUAGCUGUGUAUGGGACAGAAAGGGACACCUAUUAGAUGGAACCUUCUGCCCCAACACUUUUGUACUACAAAAUAACUGUAAUUGUGGCUCAAAUUUAUGCUUAAGUAACUUCAGUGAAACAAUAACACACACAUAACUCUCAGAAAGCAAUCUUACUCAAAAGGCUUGGGCACUGAUACAUUGUGAAGAAAUUACACAAUAUGAAUUUUUUUUAAAAAGGUAAUCACUAGAAAGUUUACAGAUGAUAGAUUCAUGUUAGCAAAAGAGUGUUAAGUAUCUGUUGAAUUACAACUAGACACUUAUGGAAAGUGUCUAAUUUCACUUUCUCUGCACUAUCUUUCUGUAUUACCAGUACCCAAUAAAUUAAAUGCUUUUGACAUUCAAUCAAUAUUACAUGGUAAUAAUCACAUCUUUUCAUUAAAAAGGAUAAAUUCCUUAAAAUUUUAUGUUUUAAGAAAAGGUCUUUGUUUACCAAAAGGGAUAGCAAAAUGAUUUAAGUGAGUUUAAUUUGAAUUAUUAAUUUUUUGUUCCUCGGCCAGCAGUUCUUCAGCAAAGGUCUAGAUUAUGGUGAUUGUUCUUGGUUGUGGUUUUUUAACAGUAAUGACAAGGCCCUUGAUAUCCUCUGGCCUUGACUUAGACACAAUUGCAGGCCUCCUUUUCACCUUUAGUUUUAGUAUUAAGGAAAAUCUAUCUCACUGUCAGGAAUAAAAGCCAGACUAUGUCUUUGAAUUUGAGUCCUUGUCUACUUGACUCCACAGCAAGCCAUAGUUUUAAGCAGCUUUUUUGGGAGAUAGGACCACGUGAAGCAUCUGCCAUGCCCAUUUGCUUAUUUAAGUACUUGUUUUUGUAUUUUGAAAGCAUAACUUCAGUUUAAAAAAUCCACAUAAAAAUGGGGUAAAACUUGGAACAAAAUUAUGGACUACCAGAGGUUUUCACUUACAACUGGCUACAGAAGCAGAGUGCAAUGCAAUCACAAAGAAUUAUUCCUUUAAAAUUGUGAGGUAUCACAUCUGCAUUUUUGAGUGAAUAGCUGACUAUGAUAAAGAGACCAGUUUUACCUUUGUAAAGCUGUAUGUCUCUUCCACGAAGUAGUUCUUUCAUCUAACAUGCGGAUUGCAAUAACUUACAG